AAACAGGUUUGGGAUUUAUCUGAUCAAGAUAACGACAGUAUGCUUUCUUUAAGGGAGUUCUGUACUGCUCUCUAUUUGAUGGAACGUUACAGAGAAGGCUGUCCUCUUCCUACUACACUCCCAAGCUCUGUAAUGUCUGAUGAGAUUUUGUUGUCUGCUACAAGCCACCUUACAGCUUCGCAUGGCAGUGGAACUUGGGGACCUGCUUCUGGUCCUCGACCACCACAAGUUAUGAUGGGUCCACGGCCAGCACCUGCUGCUGCAGCAAGGCC
RNAcentral lists this unclassified non-coding RNA (272 nucleotides) under Hevea brasiliensis (rubber tree). The record is from RNAcentral. Lineage: Eukaryota; Viridiplantae; Streptophyta; Magnoliopsida; Malpighiales; Euphorbiaceae.